This 834-nucleotide ribosomal RNA is filed under the name Lactiplantibacillus plantarum. Its description in RNAcentral is "Lactobacillus plantarum partial 16S ribosomal RNA". It matches the Rfam family "Bacterial small subunit ribosomal RNA", at positions 657 to 1496 of the family's 1533-position model. Lineage: Bacteria; Bacillati; Bacillota; Bacilli; Lactobacillales; Lactobacillaceae. The record is from RNAcentral.
GACAGUGGAACUCCAUGUGUAGCGGUGAAAUGCGUAGAUAUAUGGAAGAACACCCAGUGGCGAAGGCGGCUGUCUGGUCUGUAACUGACGCUGAGGCUCGAAAGUAUGGGGAGCAAACAGGAUUAGAUACCCUGGUAGUCCAUACCGUAAACGAUGAAUGGUAAGUGUUGGAGGGUUUUCGCCCUUCAGUGGUGCAGGUAACGCCUUAAGCAAUCCGCCUGGGGAGUACGGCCGCAAGGGUGAAACUCAAAGGAAUUGACGGGGGCCCGCACAAGCGGUGGAGCAUGUGGUUUAAUUUGAAGCUACGCGAAGAACCUUACCAGGUCUUGACAUUCUUUGCACAUCUUAGAGAUUAGACUUUCCCUUUGGGGGCAAAGAUACAGGUGGUGCAUGGUUGUUGUCAGCUCGUGUCGUGAGAUGUUGGGUUAAGUCCCGCAACGAGCGCAACCCUUAUUUUUAGUUGCCAUCAUUAAGUUGGGCACUUUUGCGAGACUGCCGGUGACAAACCGGAGGAAGGUGGGGAUGACGUCAAAUCAUCCUGCCCCUUAUGACCUGGGCUACCCCCGUGGUACAAUGGGAAGUACAACGAGUUGCGAACUCGCGAGGGUAAGGUAAUUUUUUAAAGCCUUUUUCAGUUUGGAUUGUAGGGUGCAACUUGCCUACCUGAAGUCGGAAUCGCUAGUAAUCGCGGAUCAGCCUGCCGCGGUGAAUACGUUCCCGGGCCUUGUACCCCCCCCCCGUCCCCCCCUGAGAGUUUUAACCCCCAAAGUCGGUGGGGUAACCUUUAGGAGCCAGCCGCCUAAGGUGGACAGAUGAUGGGGGAAGUCGAGCAGG